GUCUAUAGCCAUACUACCCUGAACGUGCCUGAUCUCCUAUGAUCUUGGAAGCUAAGUAAGGACGGGCCUGGUUAGUACUUGGAUGGGAGACAGAUCUUCAGAAGAGACU
RNAcentral lists this ribosomal RNA (109 nucleotides) under Castor canadensis (American beaver). Lineage: Eukaryota; Metazoa; Chordata; Mammalia; Rodentia; Castoridae. The record is from RNAcentral.